CUGGACAUCAUUGCAGGAGGAAGAUUCACUUCUCAUGGAGAUGACUACUGCAGUCUCCCCAGACUGCGUGAGGUCUCUGCUAGGGUCAUGCUCCUGACAUUUUGCAGCAGUUACCUGAUCGGUGCUUUUCUUAGAGAGUCAUACAGAAGACUAUGCUGCUUCACUGCAAAGGAGACCUGAUGGACUAUGCUAAAGACAAGACAAAUAGGUACAUAAUCAACUGCACCAAGAUGGGGUACUGUGCAGGCAUCAGGUAGCGGAUGGU
Molecule: long non-coding RNA, 265 nt
Organism: Chiroxiphia lanceolata (lance-tailed manakin)
Lineage: Eukaryota; Metazoa; Chordata; Aves; Passeriformes; Pipridae
Exons: 3
Source: RefSeq, a predicted model, not a curated record